RNAcentral lists this unclassified non-coding RNA (331 nucleotides) under soil metagenome. Its description in RNAcentral is "partial contains 5.8S ribosomal RNA, internal transcribed spacer 2, and large subunit ribosomal RNA". The stretch from base 1 to 120 matches the Rfam family "5.8S ribosomal RNA", at positions 35 to 154 of the family's 154-position model. The record is from RNAcentral.
GAUGAAGAACGCAGCGAAAUGCGAUAAGUAAUGUGAAUUGCAGAAUUCAGUGAAUCAUCGAAUCUUUGAACGCACAUUGCGCCCCCUGGUAUUCCGGGGGGCAUGCCUGUUCGAGCGUCAUUUCACCACUCAAGCCUCGCUUGGUAUUGGGCAACGCGGUCCGCCGCGUGCCUCAAAUCGACCGGCUGGGUCUUCUGUCCCCUAAGCGUUGUGGAAACUAUUCGCUAAAGGGUGUUCGGGAGGCUACGCCGUAAAACAACCCCAUUUCUAAGGUUGACCUCGGAUCAGGUAGGGAUACCCGCUGAACUUGAGCAUAUCAAUAAGCGGAGGA